UACGUAGGGGGCAAGCGUUGUCCGGAUUUAUUGGGCGUAAAGAGCGUGUAGGCGGUUUGGUAGGUCCGCUGUGAAAACUCGAGGCUCAACCUCGAGACGCCGGUGGAAACCAUCAGGCUAGAGUCCGGAAGAGGAGAGUGGAAUUCCUGGUGUAGUGGUGAAAUGCGCAGAUAUCAGGAAGAACACCCGUGGCUAAGGCGGCUCUCUAGUACGGUACUGACGCUGAGACGCGAAAGCGUGGGGAGCGAACAGG
RNAcentral lists this ribosomal RNA (253 nucleotides) under uncultured bacterium. RNAcentral describes it as "partial 16S ribosomal RNA". It matches the Rfam family "Bacterial small subunit ribosomal RNA", at positions 524 to 776 of the family's 1533-position model. The record is from RNAcentral.